GAGUGAGAGAAGUUGAAUAGAUUGCACCCAUGCACUAAUCAAAGGCCAUAAUCAGUAUGCCCAAACACAAUAGGCAGAUUUUGCCCAUUCCUUCUACUAGCUUCUCCAACAAACACAAUCAUUAGAAGAUUCAUAAGUGUCAUAAAACCAACUGCAACUGGCGUUUGGUAAUUAAUGACAUGAGUGCGCAGAUUUGCAGGGUUUCAUUUUAACAAAUUAAAAGAUUCUGGAGUGUUUGGCAGGGGGCCACGAAUUGUGUGAUCAGGUGCGUGUAGCCCACAAGUGGAAGAGUCCGAUUCCCAAAGUGGUUUACGGCAAUAUGACAAACACACAAAGGUGAGAAGUGGUUUUUAUUUUGUUUUUAUGAAAUUAAAUACCGAAAUAAUGUUCUUUAAAAUAUUAACACAAAUAAAAUAAAAACAAUCCGGAGUUAUCGGGAUUGAAGCCAGUUUCUUACGGCUUCAAGAGAAAAUGCAAAAUGCUUUUGGUGCGCUGCCAAUAAGAUGAUAUUUAAAUCAGCCCGAUGUAUUGGUUUUUGAAGGAUUUUUCCACUUAUGCGGACGUUUUGAUGCAGAAAAACAGAUGCCAGCUGGAAAACACUACGGCUUCUGAUUAAAUGAGACGAGAAGUGAUUGUUUGUUUUGCUGCAUGAAAGACAGAGACACAAAAUAAAAGGAAUCAAGUUGCAUCAGGUUUCAUGGUUUCUCGUCAGCUCGGACUUGUUGAGGGAUGCCUGGAUCUGAAAGCCGUAGGUCCGUGUGGGUACCCCUGCGUUAAGCAUCCCAUUGAUUGAACUGCUCCUCCAGGGCAAAAGCAACUUCAGUGCUUUGGUUAACACCCCUCCAGCCAACUGCAGGGCUUUCCGAUUGGCUGUCUGCCUCUAAGCUGCCUGUCUUCUAGGCUUAUUGUUUCGCAAGCCCUACACAGUCAAUAUUAAGCUUGGCUAAUGUGAUAUAGAGGCAGCUGGAGGAGCCACAGAUAUUACCAUGACACUACAGAGUAAGGGGUGUAAUGCCAUUAAAAAUAAAUCAGGUGGUUUGAUGAUUUGGCAUGGUCCGGGGAUUCUGUGAGACAUUAGGUGGGGCAGUUGCUAUAAUUCUAUUACACAUUCUGGGGGAACCUCUGAGGAACAAUUGAUUCCCUUCGCCUAGUUCAGCAUAAUUCAAUUUCUUUUCAUCAAAGGUCUGAAAAGAGGAAGGGAAAAUAGAAAGUUUACUUUUGCAAUUGGAAAAAUCAGCCACCAGAAGGAUCAAUCCUGCACUCGUGUAAAAAAGCAGAUGUUCUGGAGACCUUUCACCUAAAGUUGGUCAAAUUAUGUUGAUGUCAUGCUACGGAAACUUUUCUGUAAGUCGGACAGAAAAAAAACAACAACAAAAAUAACUAAGCAGAAGAUUUAGGAUAUUUUUAACACACUGGAUUGGUCGUUGCUUAGAUUAUUGCACAAACAGAGAUUAAGAGAAACGUGAGGCCCAAAAAUUAAUCUCUUUAGUCGGUUGUAAGACUUGAUGUUCACUCGGCAGACUCGCUUUGUUGACGCCUGUCUUCACCGAGGAAACGCGUGAGGACCCCACUGUUUACAGAAAUCAUUUAUAGAUAUAUUGCUGCGAAUUAAACAGGUCUGGCGAGCAUUUGUAAUAUUCAAAAUGUGCAUUAAUUAAUUAAUUCAGUGUGCCGUUGGUCGCGCGGUGGGGGUCCUGUGUCACCAUUGUUGUGAGGCUCGAGACACAUAAACGGUGAUUUCAAGGCCCAUUGAGCGCGCGAUGGAUUGUACGUAAAAUCUAUUAAAGGGCGGGGAACAUUGAUUAUUCGUAAAAAAAAAAUUAAAUAAAAUAAAAAAAAUAUUUGACGUAUUUGACGUGUUAGAAGAGAUGUGUUGUCGAUAAAACAGAUAUUUAAAGUUUCAUUUAAAAAGAUUGUUUACAUAUGCUGUAUUACUAUUGGGUUUAAAAUAUGCAUAUAAUAGUGACAUCAGGACAUGAUUAAAUGACAGUGGAAAACGUUAUUUAGAGCAGCUUUUCUCGCUUAAUUUAAACAUAAAUCAUAAUAUUCCGUUUGAAUAAUUCAGUAUUCCGAGGUGUUGAGCCAAAAUAGUGAAUUAUUAUUCAUGUGCGAGUUUUUUUGUUUACUGAAAUGUGGCAUAGGUAAAGAAAAAAAUGUUUUGUAAUAGUAGUAUCACUUAUUUCGUUUUGUUGGGGUGGUCAAGGUUUUAUUUUUGCCAAUACUGACAUCUUGUGGUUAUAAGCAGGCACUACAUUGCCUUAGUGCUGUCACGCUAAACCUAUGCUGAUUGGUGAAUAGACUAUGCAUAGGAAUCUAUUUCCUGUUUAGUGAUUUUAUUAUGAACUCAUGACCAGGACACCCCAAAAUAGUAAUUUAUCCCAAAAGGCACAAAGAAUUAGCUUCAUUGGAGUUUCUGUUAAGACAAACUUGUUCAUUAGAAGUGGACGUCGCUCUAAUUUUGCCCAUCAUAUAAUCUACUUCAUAAAUACUCAUUAUAAAAUACACAAACAAUACCUUUAAAUAUCUCGUUGACUAAAUGAUCAAGUUAACACAUGAGCAAGACCAUGACAUCUAAAUAUCGUGGGAAAAAAAAAAAACUAAUGUAAAAUAAUAAUAACAGAAUCAGCACAAGGAAACAUUGAGGAAGGCUGCAAUUACCAAGAAACUGAGUGUGAGAGAAAUAUUUCCCAGAAAUGAAAGAGAGAAUAAAAGAGAAUAAAAAUAGAAAUACCUAUAAAUAAUCGUAUAGCAGAUCUAGCUCCUCCACAAACACACACACACACACACACACACACACACACCCAGAGGUCUUGACAUGGUUCUUUUAUACUGAUACUGCUGUCUGUCAGUGACACAAACACCCUAACACCCACAUAUGAACACGAUUCUGACCUACAUAUAAAUACAAGCGGAGAGAGUGAAACAGACUCGGUGAGACAGCACUCCUACGCACACUCUCUUCCACUCUCACUGCAUGCACAUCCACUGCAUGAAUUCAUCCUAGAUUACUCCUGCUACCUGCUCUCUUCUCCCGCUCAUUCUUCUCUCUUUUCCUAUAAUCAGAGGACACACAUGCAAUUCAUCUGACAGAGCUUUUUCUUCGGUGUUUUGCAAAGCAGUGGACAGGGAGGAAGGACACAUUUCAAGGUCUAAAGAUGGCACCGAAACGAGAACCGUCAAUUAAAAAGUCUCCAUCCGGGGGAACGUUACCGAGGCAUGGACCACCGUUUCCUUGCCCUGCCACGGCGCCUUCACCUCCAAAACCAGCUCCUGAGUUGAAACCGCGGAUGCUGCGCCCCUCUGAUUCCCCCUUUGACCCCAGCACAUUAGAGGUUAAAACCGGCAUAGCAAUCCAUGAUCAUAUCUUGAAGAUAAACAUAAACAAAAUGGAUUUUGGGUAGGAAUUUAGCAUGCACAUCCUGUAUUUGAUGAAUUGACAUUAUACAUUUUAUUCGUUAUUUCUACAAUUCACAGAUAGAAUAUCCAUAUAUGAAUAUAGAUCCUACAUCUGCCUGUGUUUAGGAAUGCAGCAUUGAAUUACACAAUUUAACCUUAAAACAAAUGUUUUAAUCGCCAUGGCUUUACAAACGUAUAAAUCAUCAGCAUUGAAUUCACUCGCUUUGCCAGUUAUGUGCAGUCAAUCAUUAUGUUAUAGUGAUCUAGGCUGGGAGUGUCUCUGUGCACUUAUGUCACUCUUUGUGUGUAAUGAGAAUACUCCACCCGUCACAGUAGUGAAGGGAAGUCCGAAUCAUUCUUGCGAAUCGGUUCUUUCGAACCUUUCGUUUUUAAAAAGCGAUUCGGUGAUUCUUUACGUCAUGACGCGUUCCACAUUUAACAUUAUUAAUACCUACCUAAUUAUUAAUACAAUUACUUUAUUAUUUAAUGAUGUAAUUUCAAGAGUCCCAUUUCAGUUUGUUUCAACCACGAUUCAGCCGAAUGUAUCGUAUUAAAUUAAAAUAUCUUAAAAUAUCGUUACGUCUAUACUGUCUAAUGCUCUUACAAGUUAAUUCAUGGGUUUAUAGAUAAUUAGAUAGACACGUAAAAUACGAUAAACACUGUCUCGGUUCAAUAAGUUCAACUCCAAGCGAAUCGUUUAUUCAUACUGGUAAAGCGGUUCAGCUAAUUCUCUAAAAAAAGAUUCGACUCAGAGAGAUGAUUCGUUCACGAAUCGGAUAUCGCUACCCUUCAUAACUGAGCAGAGCUAGCGCGAGUCUUCUCACACUCCCGCCGCAACACACAACCGGAAAACAAGCCACUGCAGAUAUGGUAGGCAUAUUGAUAAACGUUUAAUGUAAAAUUAGGUUUCGGUAGAACUUUUCUAAAUAAACAUUACUAAGUGCAUGCUCUGGUAACUAUAUACACGCUUAGUGCUAAGAAUCUGUCGCUAGCCUGUCUCAUGCUAGCUAACCGAGUUUUACGCCUUUUAGCACGCAAGAAAGUGACUAAACCUUUAUAAGAUGUUCAGGAAAUUCCUUUACAGAAACCCAAGAGUACGACAGCUAACUUGCAUUCGUUAAAAUACUGUGUUUUAGCCCAUCUUUCACCUGGAAGCACGGCUGUGAGUUAGCGGACAGUAUUAGCUGGUCAGUUUUAGCCAAGCAAAACUUAUCUAACUUUUUCGUGCGGCCUAAAACAAUUACCCAGACGGCAUUGAUGGACCGUAGACGUGUUGUUAUUACAAACCCCAUCUGUUUCACAGCUUUGCUAUUGUGCAUCAUUUCAUAUUCAUUGAA
Molecule: RNA transcript, 4733 nt
Organism: Puntigrus tetrazona (Sumatra barb)
Lineage: Eukaryota; Metazoa; Chordata; Actinopteri; Cypriniformes; Cyprinidae
Gene name: myosin light chain 4-like
Exons: 2
Source: RefSeq, a predicted model, not a curated record